AAUAUUGGACAAUGGGGGCAACCCUGAUCCAGCCAUGCCGCGUGUGUGAAGAAGGACUUCGGAUUGUAAAGCACUUUAAGUUGGGAGGAAGGGCUUUAGGCUAAUACUCUGUAGUUUUGCCGUUACCAACAGAAUAAGCUCUGGCUAACGUUGUUCCAGCAGCCGCAGUAAUACAGAGGGUGCAAGCGUUAAUCGGAAUUACUGGGCGUAAAGCGCGCGUAGGUGGUUCAGUAAGAUGGGUGUGAAAUCCCCGGGCUCAACCUGGGAACUGCUUUCAAAACUGGCAAGCUAGUGUAAGGCAGAGGGUGGUGGAAUUUCCUGUGUAGCGGUGAAAUGAGUAGAUAUAGGAAGGAACACCAGUGGCGAAGGCGACUACCUGGACUGAUACUGACGCUGAGGUGCGAAAGCGUGGGGAGCAAACA
Molecule: ribosomal RNA, 422 nt
Filed under: uncultured bacterium
Lineage: Bacteria
Description: partial 16S ribosomal RNA
Rfam family: Bacterial small subunit ribosomal RNA
Source: RNAcentral